UGGGGAAUAUUGCACAAUGGGCGCAAGCCUGAUGCAGCCAUGCCGCGUGUAUGAAGAAGGCCUUCGGGUUGUAAAGUACUUUCAGCGGGGAGGAAGGCGAUAAGGUUAAUAACCUUGUCGAUUGACGUUACCCGCAGAAGAAGCACCGGCUAACUCCGUGCCAGCAGCCGCGGUAAUACGGAGGGUGCAAGCGUUAAUCGGAAUUACUGGGCGUAAAGCGCACGCAGGCGGUCUGUCAAGUCGGAUGUGAAAUCCCCGGGCUCAACCUGGGAACUGCAUUCGAAACUGGCAGGCUAGAGUCUUGUAGAGGGGGGUAGAAUUCCAGGUGUAGCGGUGAAAUGCGUAGAGAUCUGGAGGAACACCGGUGGCGAAGGCGGCCCCCUGGACAAAGACUGACGCUCAGGUGCGAAAGCGUGGGGAGCAAACA
RNAcentral lists this ribosomal RNA (427 nucleotides) under uncultured bacterium. RNAcentral's name for it is "partial 16S ribosomal RNA". It matches the Rfam family "Bacterial small subunit ribosomal RNA", at positions 355 to 774 of the family's 1533-position model. The record is from RNAcentral.